AAGUUUAGGUUAAUACAAACCAAGAGCCUUCAAAGCCCUAAACACGAGCACCAACCCUCAUAACUUC
Molecule: transfer RNA, 67 nt
Filed under: Cyrtodactylus soudthichaki
Lineage: Eukaryota; Metazoa; Chordata; Lepidosauria; Squamata; Gekkonidae
Description: tRNA-Trp
Source: RNAcentral